GUGGGGAAUAUUGGGCAAUGGAGGCAACUCUGACCCAGCCAUGCCGCGUGCAGGAUGACGGCCCUCUGGGUUGUAAACUGCUUUUAUACGGGAAGAAAAAAUACUACGUGUAGUAUACUGACGGUACCGUAAGAAUAAGGAUCGGCUAACUCCGUGCCAGCAGCCGCGGUAAUACGGAGGAUCCAAGCGUUGUCCGGAUUUAUUGGGUUUAAAGGGUGCGUAGGCGGAUCUUUAAGUCAGUGGUGAAAGCCUGCAGCUUAACUGUAGAAUUGCCAUUGAAACUGAAGAUCUUGAAUGUGGUUAAAGUAGGCGGAAUGUAUCAUGUAGCGGUGAAAUGCUUAGAUAUGAUACAGAACACCGAUAGCGAAGGCAGCUUGCUGAACCAUUAUUGACGCUGAGGCACGAAAGCGUGGGGAGCGAACAGGAUUAGAAACCUGUGUAGUCC
Molecule: ribosomal RNA, 445 nt
Filed under: uncultured bacterium
Lineage: Bacteria
Description: bacterial SSU rRNA
Rfam family: Bacterial small subunit ribosomal RNA
Source: RNAcentral